Molecule: ribosomal RNA, 463 nt
Filed under: uncultured bacterium
Lineage: Bacteria
Description: partial 16S ribosomal RNA
Rfam family: Bacterial small subunit ribosomal RNA
Source: RNAcentral
GAUGAACGCUGACAGAAUGCUUAACACAUGCAAGUCGAAGGGGAAGUGGUGCUUGCACCAUGGUAACCAUGGCGGACGGGUGAGUAAAGCGUAAGGAACUUGCCUGCUGGACUGGGAUAACAGCAGGAAACUGCUGAUAAUACCGGAUAAGGUCAUUAAGCUGCAUAGCUGAGUGAUGAAAGGAGACGCCUGCGGAGAGCCUUGCGUCCUCUUAGCUAGUUGGAGGGGGAGCGGCGCACCAAGGCGAAGAUAGCGAGCCGGCCUGAGAGGGUGGACGGCCACUAGGGGAGUGAGACACCGCCCUUACUCCUACGGGAGGGAGCAGUGGGGAAUAUUGGACAGUGGGGGCAACCCUGAUCCAGCAAUUCUGUGUGCACGAAGACGGUUUUCGGAGUGUAAAGUGCUUUCAGCAGGGAAGAAGGAAGUGACGGUACCUGCAGAAGAAGCGACGGCUAACUACGUG